Molecule: ribosomal RNA, 497 nt
Filed under: uncultured bacterium
Lineage: Bacteria
Description: partial 16S ribosomal RNA
Rfam family: Bacterial small subunit ribosomal RNA
Source: RNAcentral
GACGAACGCUGGCGGCGUGCCUAAUACAUGCAAGUUGAGCGCUGAAGGUUGGUUCUUGUACCACCUGGAUGAGCAGCGUACGGGUGAGUAACGCGUGGGGACUCUGCCUUUGAGCGGGGGACAACAUUUGGAAACGAAUGCUAAUACCGCAUAAAAACUUUAAACAGAAGGUUUAAGAUUGAAAGAUGCUAUUGCAUCACUCAAAGAUGAUCCCGCGUUGUAUUAGCUAGUUGGUGAGGUAAAGGGUCACCAAGGGGAUGAUACAUAGCCGACCUGAGAGGGUGGUAGGCCGCCUGGGGACGGAAACACGGCCCAAGCGACUACGGGACGGAGCAGUAGGAGAUCGUAGGCAAGAGACGAAAGUCUGACAGAGCAGGGGCGCGUGAGUGGAAAAGGUGUUCGGAUCGUAAAGCUCGGUUGGUAGAGGAGAACGUUUGUGAGAGUGGAAAGCGCAUCAAGUGACGGUAACUACCCAAGAAGGAACGGCUAACUACGUG